GCUUGUUCUGCCUGGCAAGAAGAGGCUCCAGGUAGACAUUAUUACAGCCUCUCAGUACUUAAGGCCUACGGGAAAAACAGUGGCAGAAAAUUUCACCGGGAUGUAUAGUAGUAACACAAUAAGGGGGAAUGGCUUUAAACGAAAAGAGGGGAGGAGCAGGAAGAAAUUAAUUACUCGGAGGGCAGUGAGGCGUGGGCACAGCUGCCCGGAGAGCUGUGGUGGCCCAUCUCUGGAGGUGCUCAAGGCCAGGCUGGAUGGACCCUGGGCAGCCUGAACCUGAGUUCCAGCCCAGGAGCUUGGAACUGGGGGGGUCAAUAAGAUCCCUCUCAACACAAACCAUUCUAUGAUUCUAUGUCAAACAGCAUUUCUCAGUGUUUCCAUACAUGGACACAUUCAUAUGUACAUUAAUUUUGUGCCUGAAUACAACUCAAGUCUUUAUGUGCAUCACGAUGUUUGGUUCAGGCUCAUAAGGAAAAAAGCAAUAAAAGCCAUCUCAAUUACAAAGUCCACAUGACCGUUGCUUAUUUUCAAACCUUCAGGUUUCAAGGUGUGAUGAGGGAGCAUUUCAAUCACAAUUAAUACCAAAAUGAAUAAUGACAGAAGAGGAAUGUAGACACUAAUAAGCUAUGCUGCCUCUGGAGAAACAGAAUCAAUAGCAACAUGAGACAUUAGGGCCUUCUUCAUCCCUGUGCAGUCCAGCCUGCCAGUAGCUGCUCUUCUUUCCACACCAGGCAGCAAAGAAGGGAGAACAGACAGUCCAUCUGCCCACCAUGUCCUUCUUCUCAUCUCCACUGCAGUGUAACAGCUCAGUCAUCUGGAUAACAGGGCAUGGAUUUCAGCAGGGGCACAGAACUGGAAGAGCACAGCGCACAUCACCUGGGCUGCUUCUGAGGCCACUGAAAUUCUGCAUUAUGAAUUACAGGUUUUAUGUUUGUGUCUGCGCUACUGUUCUAUUUGUUUAUUACCAGCUAUUCCGUUCAUAGUUACAGGCAUAACGCUUUCAGGAAUGACUUUUCAGGCUCCAGGUCUAUGUGCAGAGUAACAAAGCAGACAAAUCUGUUGAUGAGAUGUACGGAAGUUUCCCAAGAUACCUCUGGAUGAUAAGAAGAACAUG
Molecule: long non-coding RNA, 1114 nt
Filed under: Coturnix japonica (Japanese quail)
Lineage: Eukaryota; Metazoa; Chordata; Aves; Galliformes; Phasianidae
Description: lncRNA (ENSCJPG00005003759.1)
Source: RNAcentral